Molecule: ribosomal RNA, 470 nt
Filed under: uncultured bacterium
Lineage: Bacteria
Description: bacterial SSU rRNA
Rfam family: Bacterial small subunit ribosomal RNA
Source: RNAcentral
AACGCUGGCGGCGUGCCUAACACAUGCAAGUCGAGCGAGGAGAUUCCUUCGGGAUGAUCCUAGCGGCGGACGGGUGAGUAACACGUGGGCAACCUGCCUCAUAGAGAGGAAUAGCCUUCCGAAAGGGAGAUUAAUACCUCAUAACAUUGCAGUUUCGCAUGAAACAGCAAUUAAAGGAGCAAUCCGCUAUGAGAUGGGCCCGCGGCGCAUUAGCUAGUUGGUGAGGUAACGGCUCACCAAGGCGACGAUGCGUAGCCGACCUGAGAGGGUGAUCGGCCACAUUGGGACUGAGACACGGCCCAGACUCCUACGGGAGGCAGCAGUGGGGAAUAUUGCACAAUGGGGGAAACCCUGAUGCCAGCAACGCCGCGUGAGUGAUGACGGCCUUCGGGUUGUAAAGCUCUGUCUUCAGGGACGAUAAUGACGGUACCUGAGGAGGAAGCCACGGCUAACUACGUGCCAGCCGCCGC